GAAAAGACAAGGUCAUUUCUUUUAUAUUUUUGGAAAAAAAUAUUUUUCAGUUAAUGAUUGAAAGUAACCGGAGGAGAUUUAGGAUUCAUCUGCAGUUAUUUGUUGGGGAGAGAUGCAUUAUUGUUUUACUGGAAUGUUUCAAGUGUUAAAAUAGUUUAGAAAUGUUGAAAAUGUGGAAGUGUCUAUGCUUUACAGCUAAACAUCUUUAGGCAUCAUGGCUUAAGGUUGAAUUGAAAACUAGAUCUAAAAUCAGAGUUGCUGGUAAUGUUUAACUUUAUUGAUUAACCAACUUGAAAGCACUACAUUUAUGAAUAAUUGUAAACUGCCAGUGCUUCAGCUUGUAGUCCUUAAUGAAAUUUGGAGUCCAAAACAUAAAACUAAUGGUGACUUUUGACUAUUCCGGAGAACCUGGAAUUGGAACUAUUAAAAAAUAGUCCUGAUGCCUAAAAGUUAUAAAUUUUUGUAACAACAGCUAAUAUUUGAAUAAACAUGAAAAAUAGGACUUGUUAAGGACUAUUGUUCUAAGAGAGACAGGUUUUUUUAAACUCCUCUUCUUUAGCUUGAUAUAGUCUGCAUCAAUAACUGACCAUACUACUUAAAUUGUGGGACAAUGUUCGUCCACUUCAAGAAAUGAAAGGCUAAUUUUGAAGGUAAAGCACAACAACAGUUUGUUUUGCAUUCAAUUAUGACCAUGCUGCAUCCUUGGCCAUAAACUAUGUAGAAAGUGGAAACUUCUCAACGUAAAGUAUUCUUCCUUUUUGCUGUUGUUCCUACUAAAUUAAUAAAGAUGACAUAAACCUUCUUUGAGUUUUAAAAAUGUUCUGUAUAUUUUACAUUUGGGUUCUUGACUAAAAAAAUUGCAAACCUUUUGUCAAAUUUGAAAUUAUGGCUGAUCUUCUUAAAGUUGUUAGUUAUAUACAUAAACUUUCACAUUGUUCAAUUGUAUCCAAACCUAUUUUAGUAUCUAACUAUAUAAUAUGGUUUAUUUGUAUAAGAUAUUCAAAAAUUAAUGGUGAUAUUUUAAAUUAUUCAUUAUCGUUUAUCACCCGGAAAUAUAGAUAAAAAGGAAAAUCUGAAUUUUGUUCACUGCUUUAUCUCUCU
Molecule: unclassified non-coding RNA, 1101 nt
Filed under: Hevea brasiliensis (rubber tree)
Lineage: Eukaryota; Viridiplantae; Streptophyta; Magnoliopsida; Malpighiales; Euphorbiaceae
Source: RNAcentral